CGCUGACAUCGCUCUUUGGUUAAGGUUAAGCAAAUCAGACCCCGCCCAUGCUUUGCCAUAAAAUUAAUGGCUUCAGGUGUGAUUUUUUCAGCGGCAAUGAU
This 101-nucleotide non-coding RNA is filed under the name uncultured Enterovibrio sp. Lineage: Bacteria; Pseudomonadati; Pseudomonadota; Gammaproteobacteria; Vibrionales; Vibrionaceae. The record is from RNAcentral.